Molecule: ribosomal RNA, 676 nt
Filed under: uncultured bacterium
Lineage: Bacteria
Description: bacterial SSU rRNA
Rfam family: Bacterial small subunit ribosomal RNA
Source: RNAcentral
AGAGUUUGAUCCUGGCUCAGGACGAACGCUGGCGGCGUGCCUAAUACAUGCAAGUCGAGCGGACCCUUCGGGGUCAGCGGCGGACGGGUGAGUAACACGUGGGUAAUCUGCCCAACUGACUGGAAUAACGCCUGGAAACGGGUGCUAAUGCCGGAUAGGCAGCGAGGAGGCAUCUCCUUGCUGGGAAAGGUGCAACUGCACCGCAGAUGGAGGAGCCCGCGGCGCAUUAGCUAGUUGGUGGGGUAACGGCCUACCAAGGCGACGAUGCGUAGCCGACCUGAGAGGGUGGACGGCCACACUGGGACUGAGACACGGCCCAGACUCCUACGGGAGGCAGCAGUAGGGAAUCUUCCGCAAUGGGCGCAAGCCUGACGGAGCAACGCCGCGUGAGCGAAGAAGGCCUUCGGGUUGUAAAGCUCAGUCACUCGGGAAGAGCGGACGGAGGAGUGGAAAGCCUUCGUCGAGACGGUACCGAGAGAGGAAGCCCCGGCUAACUACGUGCCAGCAGCCGCGGUAAUACGUAGGGGGCAAGCGUUGUCCGGAAUCACUGGGCGUAAAGCGUGCGUAGGCGGUCGCGUGUGUCUGGGGUGAAAGUCCAGGGCUCAACUCUGGGAUUGCCUUGGAAACUGCGCGACUUGAGUACUGGAGAGGCAAGGGGAAUUCCGCGUGUAGCGGU